CAUAUGAUGCAUACUCUGGUUUGUGAUAGUGUAACAUCUUGGAAGUUUCCUGAAUAUGUGUGGAGGACAACUUAGUUAUUUAUUUUGACUUUUUGAGCAUUUCAAGUUCAAUUAAAAUUUUUAUUUUAUUUUAUAUUUGUAAUUAAAGAUGAAUUGAAAGUGAUUGGCAAUUGCUUCCUACUGGAACAUAAAGUACUCUACAGUUUGAUACUUUCAAGGUGCUUUUCCUGUGUAGGUGUCUCCUUGUCCUGACCUCAUUCUAGAAAAUCCUGGUGAAAGCUUUGUGGCCAGCCAUCAGCAAUAUUGAGUUUGUGAUCCAGUUAGUAUAAUGAAUCUUUAUUAAAACAAGGAUGAUUGAUAAAACUACAAGGGAUGUGGAAUGAGGUUCAAAGCCUUUCCUCUAGCCAAGAUAACACUACUCUGAUACCUAUUGUCAUUUUAUGAUUUUAUCUUUUUUUUUUUUUUUUUUUUUUUCUGUAGUCUCUGCCUCUGAUUCAAGUUCUUAUUCAUAGGUGUGUGUUUGUGUCUAUAAUAUCUAUAUAUUGUGUUUUCAUAUUUGUGGCUUAGAUAUGAAUUAAACUCCCGGAUAUCCUCUUUUGGUACUAUUUGGUUCAAUGAUAUGCAGAUUCUGUUUAUACUCUUAGUUAACCUUUUUAACAUAACUGCUUUUUUUUCUAGUUGUUCUAGUGAUUUAAGACUUCUAUUAGAUGUUAUAUUGGACAGGAGCUACCCUGUUGACCAUCAAGGGAACCAGUUAACUCAGUUUCAGCAGCUACCUAAAUGAAGCAGAAGUGGCAGCAGCUGAAUAACAGAAAGCAACUAAUUUGUUUGAUACCAUUCUCACGUAAUGCAGGUUGCUUUUAGAAAAUUGCAGUGCAUUAUACCCCAUUGUAGAAAGAUAUUUUGAAUGGUGUGUCAGCUAGUUUUAUCUGAGAUAUUGAUUGAGAAAAAUUGUAAUUACAAUUAUUUUGCAUAGUUUGUAUGAAAACUACUAGAUUUUUGGUUGGUU
This is a long non-coding RNA of Lotus japonicus, 1009 nucleotides long. RefSeq lists it as uncharacterized. The record is from RefSeq and is a predicted model, not a curated record. The transcript is spliced from 2 exons. NCBI's taxonomy places the organism in Eukaryota, Viridiplantae, Streptophyta, Magnoliopsida, Fabales, Fabaceae.